CAGGAACCUGUGGUCGAACCGGAAAUUUUGGGAUGGGUCUGUGAGCCCUGGCCUGGCUCCCUGCUGUCAUCAGCAGACUACCUGCCUGAACCAAUAAGCAAAUUUGCAUCUUCUAAGUGCCUAUCACAUCACUGAGCUCGGGGAUUUGCACUGCUGUCUCAAGUUCCUGAUUUCUAUUAUUAGGUCUAUUAUAUAUUUCUGCGUGUUGGAUUUGCCGUAGUAAGAGAUAAUAAAAGAUACAAAGAGAUAAUAUUGUAUCCCCAGACUCUAUUUCAAUGUGACUGUGACAGUAAGGGUAUGAAAACUGUGCUUAAACCGGGCUGUUAUUUUAAUAUAUCUACUUUCCCAAGCUGUAAAAUCCAGAAAAAGGAGCUAUAACUGGAGGUGGUUGCAGUGCAGAUAUACAUUGAGUUUCACUGUAAAUGAAUUGGUAGAAAAUUGGGAGGGAACACGGCUGAAUGAACAGGGAGAUGAUACUGUUGGGUAAUUUAAUUUUGAUUUCCUUCCGUUUGGUGGAUGUGUUUCUUUAGCUUUAGUUUGUGUCAACACUGUAUUUCACAAUGCAGUUGUGAACUGUAUUUCACAAUGCAGUUUUUUACUGGUGCGGGUGCAGAUCUUUCUCCUUUGAUAGCAGGACACCGGAGGUUUGUUUGCCCCCUAGGAUUGUUUGGAGAGUGUCUCAUUUGAAUGAGGAAGAGUAUUCCACAAGCUGCCACUUGUUGUAGCUCUGCCGAGGUGGGGCACGGCAGGGAAAAAUGCAGGGCAUGUUGAUCACUCAUCCCAAGGCUUUAUCUGGAGGGCAUUCCUUCUGCGAGGCACACUUCUUGCCCUAAGGAAAAGGAGACAUUUCCCCUACAGCAAUGUUUAACUAUUAAAAUUCCCCCUCCACAAUUUCUCUAGGAAAUACCCAGGAGCGUUUGCCCACCUCACCAGGUUAAUCAGGAUCUUCUGGUUGCACACUGAAGGUACCUUCUGCCCUGCUUCCAAACCAUGCAAAAGCACAAUGGAUGGUGUAACAUGGUUGCUUUGUUACUCUCUAAUAACAAUUUUCUUCCUUUGCAAUCUCUGAUUUCAUUGAGGUGGCUGCUGUCCUAUUUUUAGAGGGAAUUUUCGGCUGAGGUCUCUCACAGCUGGUUAAAAUGUGUAGCUAAAAAGUGUGUAAAACAAAUCCCAAGGGAGAAGCAAGACCCAUCCUAAACAAACUUUGCUGAACAGAUUAGAUUUCAAGGAGUAACAGAGUUUAUAAUAGGGAGUAUUUGCUUUAAGGGCUGCCAAGGAUAAAUCAGGAAGGAGAAAGGCUCACGAGGUAGCAGGAUGAGUGGAGGAGAUCUUAGGAAUAUGGGAAGAAAAGCAAACCACCAUGAAGUGAAGCUGGACAAAGAAACAGAACACAAAUAUAGGAAAACAGGUUAACAGUUGUGAUGGAGAACUGGGUAAAGAAUAUUGAAACAAAAAUCCACUCAGAUUUGUUCAUAUAAUUAAAGAAACUUGCUGAACUGUUCUUGCUUUCCAUUUGCUUGUGCUGGUCAUGAGUGUUCAACCAACCGAGCUGUGGCUCAAAGAGUGAUUCUUUCAAAGCUGCAGGUACAAGUAUUUGCACAAGCAAACAGCAAACUCAUGUCGUGUUAAUAUUAGCACUGCAAUGACUUGCCUCUUCCUCCAGUCAGGAAAUGGAAACAAUGGCACAAAACUUAAUGUGACCAACAGAACUUAAUUGCCAACAGCAAAUGGUCCCAGGGAACUGUUUAAGAACAAUUGAUGGAUGCAAACUGGGAGAUUGCAUCACUUUGAGUCACAAAGGAGUCUAUGGAAAUAGAAGUGUUGCUGGUUAUUCCAAAGAUAGAAAGUCAUGGUGUCACUGGAUAAGCUGACAUAAACAUCACUGCUGCAUCACUGCAUCAUUUUCCCUGCCUCCUGACACAACAGGCCUUAGAAAAACCCUUCUUUGUGAUCUGGCCCCCAGUGCUCCUUGCCAGCCCUGCUCUGGAGAUUCCACAGAAAAUUCACUACAGCCAGAAAUUAAAAUACCAGUCCAUACACAA
This is a long non-coding RNA of Pseudopipra pipra, 2042 nucleotides long. RefSeq lists it as uncharacterized. The record is from RefSeq and is a predicted model, not a curated record. The transcript is spliced from 4 exons. Lineage: Eukaryota; Metazoa; Chordata; Aves; Passeriformes; Pipridae.